This 233-nucleotide long non-coding RNA is filed under the name Mytilus galloprovincialis (Mediterranean mussel). The record is from RNAcentral. Lineage: Eukaryota; Metazoa; Mollusca; Bivalvia; Mytilida; Mytilidae.
GGGGCCAGCUCAAGCAUGCCUUUGGGUGUGGGAUUUCUUAGCUGUGUUGAAGACCAAUCAGUGGCUUUUGCUCUUUGGUCGGUUUGUCUCAUUGACACAUUCCCCAUUUCCAUUCUCAAUUUUAUCUGGUUCAAAUAGAGGCUGUUAGUAGGAAGACAUGUCACCAAACCAGAAUACAUUCAUUAUGAAAAGACCAGUAUUUGCUCUUAACAGAAGCAUCAAAUUUUAAAUCU